UACAGAGGUCUCAAGCGUUGUUCGGAUUCAUUGGGCGUAAAGGGAGCGUAGGUGGGUUGGUAAGUCAGUGGUGAAACCCCCGAGCUUAACUUGGGAACUGCCAUUGAUACUAUCAGUCUUGAAUACUGUGGAGGUUAGCGGAAUAUGUCAUGUAGCGGUGAAAUGCUUAGAUAUGACAUAGAACACCAAUUGCGAAGGCAGCUGGCUACACAAAUAUUGACACUGAGGCUCGAAAGCGUGGGGAUCAAACAGG
This 253-nucleotide ribosomal RNA is filed under the name uncultured bacterium. RNAcentral's name for it is "partial 16S ribosomal RNA". It matches the Rfam family "Bacterial small subunit ribosomal RNA", at positions 524 to 776 of the family's 1533-position model. The record is from RNAcentral.